Molecule: ribosomal RNA, 121 nt
Filed under: Sedimentibacter sp. SX930
Lineage: Bacteria; Bacillati; Bacillota; Tissierellia
Also listed under: 1 other name
Description: partial 23S ribosomal RNA
Rfam family: Bacterial large subunit ribosomal RNA
Source: RNAcentral
AUUUCCCAUCACUUUAAGUGAGUAAGACCCCUGAGAGAUGAUCAGGUAGAUAGGUUGGGAGUGGAAGUACAGCGAUGUAUGGAGCGGACCAAUACUAAUCGGUCGAGGACUUAACCAAUUU